This 491-nucleotide ribosomal RNA is filed under the name uncultured bacterium. RNAcentral describes it as "partial 16S ribosomal RNA". It matches the Rfam family "Bacterial small subunit ribosomal RNA", at positions 29 to 506 of the family's 1533-position model. The record is from RNAcentral.
AGUGAACGCUGGCGGUAGGCCUAACACAUGCAAGUCGAACGGCAGCACAGUAAGAGCUUGCUCUUACGGGUGGCGAGUGGCGGACGGGUGAGGAAUACAUCGGAAUCUACUUUUUCGUGGGGGAUAACGUAGGGAAACUUACGCUAAUACCGCAUACGACCUACGGGUGAAAGCAGGGGAUCUUCGGACCUUGCGCGAUUGAAUGAGCCGAUGUCGGAUUAGCUAGUUGGCGGGGUAAAGGCCCACCAAGGCGACGAUCCGUAGCUGGUCUGAGAGGAUGAUCAGCCACACUGGAACUGAGACACGGUCCAGACUCCCACGGGAGGCAGCAGUGGGGAAUAUUGGACAAUGGGCGCAAGCCUGAGCCAGCCAUACCGCGUGGGUGAAGAAGGCCUUCGGGUUGUAAAGCCCUUUUGUUGGGAAAGAAAAGCAGCAGGUUAAUACCCCGCUGUUCUGACGGUACCCAAAGAAGAAGCACCGGCUAACUUCGU